RNAcentral lists this ribosomal RNA (200 nucleotides) under Eurotiomycetes sp. NASAff6-l-c1. Its description in RNAcentral is "partial 16S ribosomal RNA". It matches the Rfam family "Eukaryotic small subunit ribosomal RNA", at positions 751 to 952 of the family's 1831-position model. Lineage: Eukaryota; Fungi; Ascomycota; Eurotiomycetes. The record is from RNAcentral.
UUUACUGUGAAAAAAUUAGAGUGUUCAAAGCAGGCCUUUGCUCGAAUACAUUAGCAUGGAAUAAUAGAAUAGGACGUGCGGUUCUAUUUUGUUGGUUUCUAGGACCGCCGUAAUGAUUAAUAGGGAUAGUCGGGGGCGUCAGUAUUCAGCUGUCAGAGGUGAAAUUCUUGGAUUUGCUGAAGACUAACUACUGCGAAAGC